AGUUCCUUCCUUGUUUGCCUGCCUGAACUUGAUCUUGUCUUUUCCUCUCCGAUUUCCCCGCUCAAUGACCUUGUUUCUGCCUCCUGAGCAACCCUCCAUGCCUAACCCCUGGAUCUUUCAGUUUGAAUCUGCCUUCUCGGACAUGACUUCGUUUCUGUACCCUGGACCAUGAUUCAAGCUUCUCCCUCGGAUCCUGUUGCCCCUAUCUGCUCUCAAGGCUCUGACCCAGUUUCUGUCCCCUUACCAUGGCAACCAGCUCAGUCACUGGGUUUAUAAACCCAAGCAUCUGUUGGACACUGCCCCGCCAACACUCUGAGGAGGGGAAGAUCAGCUUCCUUACAGAUUCUUUAGAGGUUCCUUAGCCUGCUGCUCAGGGUUUCCUGCCUGACGACAUCCAGAGUUUUUAAUAAACUUUUUGAAUCUUA
This is a long non-coding RNA of Girardinichthys multiradiatus, 425 nucleotides long. RefSeq lists it as uncharacterized. The record is from RefSeq and is a predicted model, not a curated record. The transcript is spliced from 2 exons. Lineage: Eukaryota; Metazoa; Chordata; Actinopteri; Cyprinodontiformes; Goodeidae.